ACACAUGCAAGUCGAGGGGCAGCAUCAUCAAAGCUUGCUUUGAUGGAUGGCGACCGGCGCACGGGUGAGUAACACGUAUCCAACCUGCCGACAACACUGGGAUAGCCUUUCGAAAGAAAGAUUAAUACCGGAUGGCAUAGUUUUCCCGCAUGGGAUAAUUAUUAAAGAAUUUCGGUUGUCGAUGGGGAUGCGUCCCAUUAGGCAGUUGGCGGGGUAACGGCCCACCAAACCUACGAUGGAUAGGGGUUCUGAGAGGAAGGUCCCCCACAUUGGAACUGAGACACGGUCCAAACUCCUACGGGAGGCAGCAGUGAGGAAUAUUGGUCAAUGGACGAGAGUCUGAACCAGCCAAGUAGCGUGAAGGAUGACUGCCCUAUGGGUUGUAAACUUCUUUUAUACGGGAAUAAAGUUAGCCACGUGUGGUUUUUUGUAUGUACCGUAUGAAUAAGGAUCGGCUAACUCCGUGCCAGCAGCCGCGGUAAUACGGAGGAUCCGAGCGUUAUCCGGAUUUAUUGGGUUUAAAGGGAGCGUAGGCGGGUUGUUAAGUCAGUUGUGAAAGUUUGCGGCUCAACCGUAAAAUUGCAGUUGAUACUGGCGACCUUGAGUGCAACAGAGGUAGGCGGAAUUCGUGGUGUAGCGGCGAAAUGCUUAGAUAUCACGAAGAACUCCGAUUGCGAAGGCAGCUUACUGGAUUGUAACUGACGCUGAUGCUCGAAAGUGUGGGUAUCAAACAGGAUUAGAUACCCUGGUAGUCCACACAGUAAACGAUGAAUACUCGCUGUUGGCGAUAUACAGUCAGCGGCCAAGCGAA
This 811-nucleotide ribosomal RNA is filed under the name uncultured bacterium. RNAcentral describes it as "bacterial SSU rRNA". It matches the Rfam family "Bacterial small subunit ribosomal RNA", at positions 51 to 855 of the family's 1533-position model. The record is from RNAcentral.